UACGGAGGGUGCAAGCGUUGCUCGGAAUUAUUGGGCGUAAAGGGUAGGUAGGUGGUCUCAUUUGUCUGAGGUGAAAGCCUUGAGCUUAACUCAAGAAGUGCCUUAGAAACGGUGAGACUAGAGUCUUGGAGAGGGUCGUGGAAUUCCCGGUGUAGCGGUGAAAUGCGCAGAUAUCAGGAGGAACACCGGUGGCGAAGGCGGGUCUCUGGGCCGAUACUGACGCUGAGGAGCGAAAGCGUGGGGAGCGAACAGG
RNAcentral lists this ribosomal RNA (253 nucleotides) under uncultured bacterium. RNAcentral's name for it is "partial 16S ribosomal RNA". It matches the Rfam family "Bacterial small subunit ribosomal RNA", at positions 524 to 776 of the family's 1533-position model. The record is from RNAcentral.